RNAcentral lists this ribosomal RNA (2189 nucleotides) under Escherichia coli. RNAcentral's name for it is "partial 23S ribosomal RNA". It matches the Rfam family "Bacterial large subunit ribosomal RNA", at positions 1 to 2215 of the family's 2925-position model. Lineage: Bacteria; Pseudomonadati; Pseudomonadota; Gammaproteobacteria; Enterobacterales; Enterobacteriaceae. The record is from RNAcentral.
GGUUAAGCGACUAAGCGUACACGGUGGAUGCCCUGGCAGUCAGAGGCGAUGAAGGACGUGCUAAUCUGCGAUAAGCGUCGGUAAGGUGAUAUGAACCGUUAUAACCGGCGAUUUCCGAAUGGGGAAACCCAGUGUGAUUCGUCACACUAUCAUUAACUGAAUCCAUAGGUUAAUGAGGCGAACCGGGGGAACUGAAACAUCUAAGUACCCCGAGGAAAAGAAAUCAACCGAGAUUCCCCCAGUAGCGGCGAGCGAACGGGGAGCAGCCCAGAGCCUGAAUCAGUGUGUGUGUUAGUGGAAGCGUCUGGAAAGGCGCGCGAUACAGGGUGACAGCCCCGUACACAAAAAUGCACAUGCUGUGAGCUCGAUGAGUAGGGCGGGACACGUGGUAUCCUGUCUGAAUAUGGGGGGACCAUCCUCCAAGGCUAAAUACUCCUGACUGACCGAUAGUGAACCAGUACCGUGAGGGAAAGGCGAAAAGAACCCCGGCGAGGGGAGUGAAAAAGAACCUGAAACCGUGUACGUACAAGCAGUGGGAGCACGCUUAGGCGUGUGACUGCGUACCUUUUGUAUAAUGGGUCAGCGACUUAUAUUCUGUAGCAAGGUUAACCGAAUAGGGGAGCCGAAGGGAAACCGAGUCUUAACUGGGCGUUAAGUUGCAGGGUAUAGACCCGAAACCCGGUGAUCUAGCCAUGGGCAGGUUGAAGGUUGGGUAACACUAACUGGAGGACCGAACCGACUAAUGUUGAAAAAUUAGCGGAUGACUUGUGGCUGGGGGUGAAAGGCCAAUCAAACCGGGAGAUAGCUGGUUCUCCCCGAAAGCUAUUUAGGUAGCGCCUCGUGAAUUCAUCUCCGGGGGUAGAGCACUGUUUCGGCAAGGGGGUCAUCCCGACUUACCAACCCGAUGCAAACUGCGAAUACCGGAGAAUGUUAUCACGGGAGACACACGGCGGGUGCUAACGUCCGUCGUGAAGAGGGAAACAACCCAGACCGCCAGCUAAGGUCCCAAAGUCAUGGUUAAGUGGGAAACGAUGUGGGAAGGCCCAGACAGCCAGGAUGUUGGCUUAGAAGCAGCCAUCAUUUAAAGAAAGCGUAAUAGCUCACUGGUCGAGUCGGCCUGCGCGGAAGAUGUAACGGGGCUAAACCAUGCACCGAAGCUGCGGCAGCGACGCUGAUGCGUUGUUGGGUAGGGGAGCGUUCUGUAAGCCUGCGAAGGUGUGCUGUGAGGCAUGCUGGAGGUAUCAGAAGUGCGAAUGCUGACAUAAGUAACGAUAAAGCGGGUGAAAAGCCCGCUCGCCGGAAGACCAAGGGUUCCUGUCCAACGUUAAUCGGGGCAGGGUGAGUCGACCCCUAAGGCGAGGCCGAAAGGCGUAGUCGAUGGGAAACAGGUUAAUAUUCCUGUACUUGGUGUUACUGCGAAGGGGGGACGGAGAAGGCUAUGUUGGCCGGGCGACGGUUGUCCCGGUUUAAGCGUGUAGGCUGGUUUUCCAGGCAAAUCCGGAAAAUCAAGGCUGAGGCGUGAUGACGAGGCACUACGGUGCUGAAGCAACAAAUGCCCUGCUUCCAGGAAAAGCCUCUAAGCAUCAGGUAACAUCAAAUCGUACCCCAAACCGACACAGGUGGUCAGGUAGAGAAUACCAAGGCGCUUGAGAGAACUCGGGUGAAGGAACUAGGCAAAAUGGUGCCGUAACUUCGGGAGAAGGCACGCUGAUAUGUAGGUGAAGCGACUUGCUCGUGGAGCUGAAAUCAGUCGAAGAUACCAGCUGGCUGCAACUGUUUAUUAAAAACACAGCACUGUGCAAACACGAAAGUGGACGUAUACGGUGUGACGCCUGCCCGGUGCCGGAAGGUUAAUUGAUGGGGUUAGCGCAAGCGAAGCUCUUGAUCGAAGCCCCGGUAAACGGCGGCCGUAACUAUAACGGUCCUAAGGUAGCGAAAUUCCUUGUCGGGUAAGUUCCGACCUGCACGAAUGGCGUAAUGAUGGCCAGGCUGUCUCCACCCGAGACUCAGUGAAAUUGAACUCGCUGUGAAGAUGCAGUGUACCCGCGGCAAGACGGAAAGACCCCGUGAACCUUUACUAUAGCUUGACACUGAACAUUGAGCCUUGAUGUGUAGGAUAGGUGGGAGGCUUUGAAGUGUGGACGCCAGUCUGCAUGGAGCCGACCUUGAAAUACCACCCUUUAAUGUUU